GCUCCUUGCUCAGCUUCCCCAUCCGCAGCACCCGCGACACCACCUUGACGUCGAUCAGCGCGAACAGCAGCUGGACCUCCUCCAUCGUGCCCGGCCAGGUCUUGCUCUUCCACCCUUUCUUCUUCUUGAACAGCUCCUUCACCUUCGCCUCCUUCUGCAGGUUUGGAUGUUGACAACUUUCCAUUAGCAAAUAUUCAAGAAACAGUACCGCACAAAGGCCUUAGGCCUCUUUGGUAAUGUCCACAAGUCACAACUUUGUGGCCUGAACGACAUCAGAUUCUAGGAAAGAUA
RNAcentral lists this long non-coding RNA (291 nucleotides) under Setaria viridis. Its description in RNAcentral is "long non-coding RNA (SVIR_LNC007480)". The record is from RNAcentral. Lineage: Eukaryota; Viridiplantae; Streptophyta; Magnoliopsida; Poales; Poaceae.